CUAGCAUUGUUAGUUAGAAGUAGCCUUGCUUUUUGAUUAUGAGGGCGAGGGUACGUCCACUAUAGUGGCUACCACAUUGCCCCUCGUGCAUGUUUUUCAUGAGGUCUUUUAUUUGUUGCCCGUAGGUACACACCAUAUAGGGACCUGCGACGUUGCGUUUCAUAAGUCUCCCUUCCAUGAUGCAGUACCUUGCGCUCUGGGUUUUGAGUUUUCUGGUCUCCCACUUGUCGGGAGGUGUGAUCCCUCGUUCGAUGUAAUCGAUGAUUGGGAUUCUCCAGUCGUUGUACGGUUCAGGUUCGUAUGAGGCAGGUUGUUCGGGGGUUCCGAGCUCAGGCUCUUCCUCCGCUGCACCUGCCUCCGC
RNAcentral lists this small RNA (361 nucleotides) under Arabidopsis thaliana (thale cress). RNAcentral describes it as "ATSL093430". Lineage: Eukaryota; Viridiplantae; Streptophyta; Magnoliopsida; Brassicales; Brassicaceae. The record is from RNAcentral.